AAUGAACGUUGGCGGCAGGCUUAACACAUGCAAGUCGAACGAAAAGUUAACUUCGGUUAGCGGAUUCGUGGCGGACGGGUGAGUAAUACAUAGGUAACGUGCCCUAGAGAGGGGGAUAACAUUUGGAAACGAAUGCUAAUACCCCAUAUGCCUUUAAGUCUUAAGACUGCAAGGGAAAUAUUUAUAGCUCUAGGAUCGGCCUGUACGGUAUCAGUUUGUUGGUGAGGUAAUGGCUCACCAAGACUAUGACGCCUAACUGGUUUGAGAGGAUGAUCAGUCACACUGGAACUGAGACACGGUCCAG
Molecule: ribosomal RNA, 304 nt
Filed under: uncultured Arcobacter sp.
Lineage: Bacteria; Pseudomonadati; Campylobacterota; Epsilonproteobacteria; Campylobacterales; Arcobacteraceae
Description: bacterial SSU rRNA
Rfam family: Bacterial small subunit ribosomal RNA
Source: RNAcentral